AAGCUACUAAGGGCGUACGGUGAAUGCCUUGGCACCAACAGUCGAUGAAGGACGUGGCAAGCUGCGAUAAGCCCCGGUGAGCCGCAAGCAGGCUUUGACCCGGGGAUUUCCGAAUGGGGAAACCCACGCUGGUUUAUCCCGGCGUAUCCCAUCCUGAAUACAUAGGGAUGUGGAAGGCAACGGAGGGAAGUGAACCAUCUCAGUACCUCCAGGAAUAGAAAACAAGUCAGUGAUUCCGCUAGUAGCGGCGAGCGAACGCGGAAGAGCCCAAACCAAGGGGCUUGCUCCUUGGGGUUGUAGGGCCUGUUUGGCCGUAAGGCCGCCGAGUCACAAACCGGAUCGUUAGUCGAACUCUCUGGAAAGGGAGACCAUAGCAGGUGACAGUCCUGUAGACGAAAACGAUCCGGCUCGGUGGACAGGUUCCUGAGUACCGCGGGACACGAGAAAUCCCGUGGGAAUCCACCAGGACCAUCUGGUAAGGCUAAAUACUCGUUGGUGACCGAUAGUGAACCAGUACCGUGAGGGAAAGGUGAAAAGCACCCCUGUGAGGGGAGUGAAAUAGUACCUGAAACCGUAUGCCUACAAGCAGUGGGAGGGCUAUACCUGGCGUAAGCCGGGGAUGCCUGACCGCGUGCCUUUUGCAUAAUGAGCCGGCUAGUUAUUCUCAGUGGCGAGGUUAAGCGUAAGCGAGCCGCAGCGAAAGCGAGUCCGAAUAGGGCGCUAGAGUCGCUGGGAAUAGACGCGAAGCGGGAUGAUCUACCCUUGGCCAGGAUGAAGUACGGGUAACACCGUAUGGAGGUCCGAACCGGUGUUGGUUGAAAACAGCUCGGAUGAGCUGAGGGUAGGGGUGAAAGGCUAAUCAAAUUCCGUGAUUGCCCGUUCUCGUCGAAAUGCCUUUAGGGGCAGCCUCGGAUGGUCGGCGAUGGUGGUAGAGCACUGGAUGGACUAGGGGCCUUACCAGGUUACUGAAUCCAACCAAACUUCGAAUGCCAUCGACACGUAGUCCGGGAGUGAGACAGUGGGGGCUAAGCUCCAUUGUCAAAAGGGAAACAGCCCAGACAUCCAGCUAAGGUCCCAAACUUUGUGCUAAGUGGGAAAGGAUCUGGAGACGCUUAGACAACCAGGAGGUUGGCUUAGAAGCAGCCAUCCUUUAAAGAAAGCGUAAUAGCUCACUGGUCAAGCGGCUCCGGGCCGACAAUGUAACGGGGCUUAAGCACAAGACCGAAGCUGAUGACUGAUGGAUCUUGCGAGGUCCAUCAUUGGUAGACGAGCGUUCCUACAGCAGUGAAGCCAGACCGACAAGGACUGGUGGAGUGGUAGGAAGUGACCCUGCCGGCAUAAGUAGCGACAAGGGAAGUGAGAAUCUUCCCCGCCGUAAGUCUAAGGAUUCCUCAGGUAGGUUCGUCCGCUGAGGGUUAGUCGGGAGCUAACGCGAGGCCGAAAGGCGUAGCGGAUGCACAUCCGGUUAAUAUUCCGGAACUAUUGAGAGUUCGUUAUCACGAUGGGGGGACGCAGGAAGCUAUGCGGGCCUAGUUUUGGAUAUCUAGGUUCAGAGUCGUAGGGGGAACCGACAGGCAAAUCCGUUGGUUCAUAUUCCCUGAGGGCUCAUGGCGAGGACCGCAAGGUCCGCAAAGCCGCAGACGCUACGCUGCCGAGAAAAGCCUCUAAGGAGAACUUUCAGUACCCGUACCGCAAACCGACACAGGUAGACGAGGAGAAAAUCCUAAGGCGCAAGUGAGACUCCACGUUUAGGAACUAGGCAAAAUGACCCCGUAACUUCGGGAGAAGGGGUGCUUCUUGUCGUUAGUGGCUUCGCGCCACGAAGCGUUACAGAAGUUGCAAUAAAGAGGCUCAAGCGACUGUUUACUAAAAACACAGGGCUCUGCUAAGUCGAAAACGACGUAUAGGGUCUGACGCCUGCCCGGUGCCGGAAGGUUAAAAGGAGAAGUUAGCCGCAAGGCGACGCUUUGAAUUGAAGCCCCGGUAAACGGCGGCCGUAACUAUAACGGUCCUAAGGUAGCGAAAUUCCUUGUCGGGUAAGUUCCGACCUGCACGAAUGGCGUAACGAUUUGAGCGCUGUCUCAACGUGGAUCACUGCGAAUUUGUGGUACCGGUGAAGACGCCGGUUGCCCGCCGUAAGACGAAAAGACCCCGUGCACCUUUACUGCACCUUAGUAGUGAAUGUUGGCGUCGUAUGCGCAGGAUAGGUGGGAGGCUUUGAUCCCAGGCUCUCGGGCUUGGGUGAGCCAAUGGUGAGAUACCACCCUUACGACUCUGACGUUCUAACCGCAACCCGUUAUCCGGGUUCGGGACACUGCUAGGCGGGUAGUUUGACUGGGGCGGUCGCCUCCUAAACUGUAACGGAGGCGCACGAAGGUUCGCUCAGGCUGUUUGGAAAUCAGCCAUAGAGUGCAAAGGCAUAAGCGAGCUUAACUGCGAGACACACAGGUCGAGCAGAUGCGAAAGCAGGUCUUAGUGAUCCGGUGGUCCCGCAUGGAAGGGCCAUCGCUCAACGGAUAAAAGGUACGCCGGGGAUAACAGGCUGAUCUGGGCCAAGAGUUCACAUCGACGCCCAGGUUUGGCACCUCGAUGUCGGCUCAUCGCAUCCUGGAGCUGUAGCAGGUUCCAAGGGUCCGGCUGUUCGCCGGUUAAAGCGGUACGUGAGCUGGGUUUAGAACGUCGCGAGACAGUUCGGUCUCUAUCUACGGUGGGCGCAGGAAAUUUGAGAGGGUCUGACCUUAGUACGAGAGGACCGGGUUGGACGGACCUCUAGUGUACCAGUUAUCACGCCAGUGGUAUCGCUGGGUAGCUAAGUCCGGUCGGGAGAAACGCUGAAGGCAUCUAAGCGUGAAACCCUCCUCAAGAUGAGAUUUCCCUGGACUUCGGUCCCUGAAGGCUCCUGGUAGACCACCAGGUUGAUAGGCUGGGUGUGUAAGCAUAGUGAUAUGUUCAGCUGACCAGUACUAAUU
RNAcentral lists this ribosomal RNA (2969 nucleotides) under uncultured Acidobacteriota bacterium. RNAcentral describes it as "bacterial LSU rRNA". It matches the Rfam family "Bacterial large subunit ribosomal RNA". Lineage: Bacteria; Pseudomonadati; Acidobacteriota. The record is from RNAcentral.